CAGGGGCGCCGACUAGUCCAAAAUGUUGGGGGGGCACGGUUGUUUUCCGAAAUCGAUAGUUUAUAUUCGCUAAAUCCUGAUCUACAAUGGCAAAUCGCAGAAUGUUGCGUUUGAAAACAUGAUGAUUGUUUUCACAAGAGUUUGCGUAAGUUUGAUUGUAGAUGAAGUGCUAUGGAAAAAGUACAUUGGUUUUGUUUUUGAAACAACAUGCACAGAUAGAAAUCUUAUGAGCAAAUCAGUUAAAUCUAUGUUGACGAAAUCUCUCAAAUCAUUUACCGAUGACUCUGUGAUCUUGUACUAAGCUUACUGAUUUUCCUAGAGAGCACAGUGGUAUAGAUAAAA
Molecule: long non-coding RNA, 342 nt
Organism: Culex pipiens pallens (northern house mosquito)
Lineage: Eukaryota; Metazoa; Arthropoda; Insecta; Diptera; Culicidae
Exons: 2
Source: RefSeq, a predicted model, not a curated record